This 444-nucleotide ribosomal RNA is filed under the name uncultured bacterium. RNAcentral's name for it is "partial 16S ribosomal RNA". It matches the Rfam family "Bacterial small subunit ribosomal RNA", at positions 339 to 795 of the family's 1533-position model. The record is from RNAcentral.
CUACGGGGGGCUGCAGUGGGGAAUAUUGCACAAUGGGCGCAAGCCUGAUGCAGCAACGCCGCGUGGGGGACGAAGGCCUUCGGGUUGUAAACCUCUUUUAGUAGGGAAGAAGCGCAAGUGACGGUACCUACAGAAAAAGCACCGGCUAACUACGUGCCAGCAGCCGCGGUAAUACGUAGGGUGCAAGCGUUGUCCGGAAUUAUUGGGCGUAAAGAGCUCGUAGGCGGGUUGUCGCGCCUGCUGUGAAAAUCCGAGGCUCAACCUCGGACCUGCAGUGGGUACGGGCAAACUAGAGUGCGGUAGGGGAGAUUGGAAUUCCUGGUGUAGCGGUGGAAUGCGCAGAUAUCAGGAGGAACACCAAUGGCGAAGGCAGAUCUCUGGGCCGUAACUGACGCUGAGGAGCGAAAGCGUGGGGAGCGAACAGGAUUAGAUACCCCCGUAGUC